RNAcentral lists this ribosomal RNA (302 nucleotides) under uncultured bacterium. Its description in RNAcentral is "bacterial SSU rRNA". It matches the Rfam family "Bacterial small subunit ribosomal RNA", at positions 775 to 1067 of the family's 1533-position model. The record is from RNAcentral.
GGAUUAGAUACCCUGGUAGUCCCGGCAGUAAACGAUGCGAGCUUGAUGUGGGAGGAUUCCGACCCCUUCCGUGUCGAAGCUAACGUGAUAAGCUCGCCGCCUGGGGAGUACGGCCGCAAGGCUAAAACUCAAAGAAAUUGACGGGGGCCCGCACAAGCGGUGGAGUAUGUGGCUUAAUUCGAUGCAACGCGAAGAACCUUACCUGGGCUUGACAUGAGUCUCUAAGGAUGUGAAAGCAUUCGAGUUUCGGUUUACCGGAACAAUUCGCACAGGUGCUGCAUGGCUGUCGUCAGCUCGUGUCG